GUCCACACCGUAAACGAUGAUUACUAGGUGUUGGAGGAUUGACCCCUUCAGUGCCGCAGUUAACACAAUAAGUAAUCCACCUGGGGAGUACGACCGCAAGGUUGAAACUCAAAGGAAUUGACGGGGCCCGCACAAGCAGUGGAGUAUGUGGUUUAAUUCGACGCAACGCGAAGAACCUUACCAAGUCUUGACAUCCUGCGACGCGCAUAGAAAUAUGUUUUUCCUUCGGGACGCAGAGACAGGUGGUGCAUUGUUGUCGU
Molecule: ribosomal RNA, 260 nt
Filed under: uncultured bacterium
Lineage: Bacteria
Description: partial 16S ribosomal RNA
Rfam family: Bacterial small subunit ribosomal RNA
Source: RNAcentral